RNAcentral lists this ribosomal RNA (498 nucleotides) under uncultured bacterium. RNAcentral describes it as "partial 16S ribosomal RNA". It matches the Rfam family "Bacterial small subunit ribosomal RNA", at positions 28 to 507 of the family's 1533-position model. The record is from RNAcentral.
GACGAACGCUGGCGGCGUGCCUAAUACAUGCAAGUCGAACGAGAGCGCCCGGUGCUUGCACUGGUCAAUCUAGUGGCGAACGGGUGAGUAACACGUGGGUAACCUGCCCAUCAGAGGGGGAUAACAUCCGGAAACGGAUGCUAAAACCGCAUAGGUCUUCGAGCCGCAUGGCUUGAAGAGGAAAAGAGGCGCAAGCUUCUGCUGAUGGAUGGACCCGCGGUGCAUUAGCUAGUUGGUGAGGUAACGGCUCACCAAGGCCGUGAUGCAUAGCCGACCUGAGAGGGUGAUCGGCCACAUUGGGACUGAGACACGGCCCAAACGCCUACGGGAGGCAGCAGUAGGGAAUCUUCCGCAAUGGACGGAAGUCUGACGGAGCAACGCCGCGUGAGUGAAGAAGGUUUUCGGAUCGUAAAACUCUGUUGUUAGAGAAGAACAAGUGCUAGAGUAACUGUUAGCGACUUGACGGUACCUAACCAGAAAGCCACGGCUAACUACGUG